UUUUUUUUUCAUGAAGUCAGAACUAACUACAGAGCAGUAAGGUACAGCAAUAGCGAGCAAGUAGCACCUGCAAUUCUGAGCAAAAAAGGGCAUGGAAUUUUGCAAAAAGUUGGGGAGCUGCUGUACUUGUUAUUUCCAUAAAUACGUUGCAGGAAUUGGAUUGACAAUAAUUGUUAAUAACAAUGUCCCGGAAGUUGUAUCUGAAAGAAAGUUUCUUGGAUUGGAGCUUGUUAGAUCCAGCGUUUUCGUGAGUUCUGAGCUCCCUUGAACCACCGAUCCCAGUUAAUAUUGGUGGGUCCUUUGCUCAGUGGAAGCAAUGGAUCCGGAAUGGAUUCAACACUUGAAAUGAGCUCUUUACAAACGAUGGAGGCUUCACCUAUCUCCUCAAGUUGGUCAAGCUCCUCCUGGAGAUAAUUGAUUUGGUUUUGGAGAUUAGAGAUUGCAGCUGCCAGUCGAUGCUUCCCAUAGAAACCGUUAGGCUGUGUUUUAGGAAGAAGAGUUGAUGGUGAUGGUGUCCGGUGCUGAUCUUCCCGCCUUGGCUCUCCUGGCGACGGCAGUGAAUCAUCCAUUGGUGUUGAAUCUGUUUCCAUGAAGAAGAUGUCAAAGGAAGGGAAGAGGUUGUUAUGGGUAAGCACAAAUGAAUGAAUGAUUAAAGAAAGUGGACCAAGUGUAGAGAAAUUAUGAAGGGAGAAGGGGUGCGUGUGCGUGUAUAAACUAUGAGCAUAAAUGAUAAAGAAAAGAGACAGUCAAAAGAAAGAAAAGCCACUAAAGCAUA
This 775-nucleotide unclassified non-coding RNA is filed under the name Hevea brasiliensis (rubber tree). The record is from RNAcentral. Lineage: Eukaryota; Viridiplantae; Streptophyta; Magnoliopsida; Malpighiales; Euphorbiaceae.